UGAGGAAUAUUGGUCAAUGGACGCAAGUCUGAACCAGCCAAGUAGCGUGCAGGAUGACGGCCCUAUGGGUUGUAAACUGCUUUUAUAUGGGGAUAAAGUGGGGAACGUGUUCCCUUUUGCAGGUACCGCAUGAAUAAGGACCGGCUAAUUCCGUGCCAGCAGCCGCGGUAAUACGGAAGGUCCGGGCGUUAUCCGGAUUUAUUGGGUUUAAAGGGAGCGUAGGCCGCGUUUUAAGCGUGUUGUGAAAUGUAGACGCCCAACGUCUGCAUCGCAGCGCGAACUGGGACGCUUGAGUACGCGCAACGUUGGCGGAAUUCGUCGUGUAGCGGUGAAAUGCUUAGAUAUGACGAGGAACUCCGAUUGCGAAGGCAGCUGACGGGAGCGGCACUGACGCUUAAGCUCGAAGGUGCGGGUAUCAAACAGG
This 424-nucleotide ribosomal RNA is filed under the name Verrucomicrobiota bacterium. RNAcentral describes it as "Verrucomicrobia bacterium partial 16S ribosomal RNA". It matches the Rfam family "Bacterial small subunit ribosomal RNA", at positions 355 to 776 of the family's 1533-position model. The record is from RNAcentral. Lineage: Bacteria; Pseudomonadati; Verrucomicrobiota.